GGGUCACUAUGCCUGGAACGGUUAGUGGCUGAAAGCUCCGGCGGCACAGGAUGGGUCUGCGGCGUAUCAGGUCGUAGGGGGUGUAACGUACCUCCUAGCCUUCGACGCGUACGGGUUGUGAGAGCAAUUGCCCGGAGAUGGAUUCUGAGACACGAAUCCAGGCCCUACGGGGCGCAGCAGGCGCGAAAACUUGACAAUGCGAGAAAUCGUGAUCAGGGGACUCCAGUUGGCUGGAUCAAAAGUCCAGUCUGAACCGACUUUAAAUCGGUCGGGUAAUAGGGGCGGGAAAGACCGGUGCCAGCCGCCGCGGUAAUACCGGCGCCCCAAGUGGUCGUCACUAUUAUUGGGCCUAAAACGUCCGUAGCCUGUUUGGUACAUUCGUGGGUAAAUCAACCAGCUCAACUGGUUGAAUUCUGCGAGCACGGCCAGACUUGGGACCGGGAGAGGUGUGGGGUACGCUCAGGGUAGGGGUAAAAUCCUGUCAUCCUGAGCGGACCACCUGUUGCGAAGGCGCCACACUAGAACGGAUCCGACGGUCAGGGACGAAGC
RNAcentral lists this ribosomal RNA (549 nucleotides) under uncultured Candidatus Poseidoniales archaeon. RNAcentral describes it as "SSU rRNA". It matches the Rfam family "Archaeal small subunit ribosomal RNA", at positions 156 to 710 of the family's 1478-position model. The record is from RNAcentral. Lineage: Archaea; Methanobacteriati; Thermoplasmatota; Candidatus Poseidoniia; Candidatus Poseidoniales.